GAUGAACGCUGGCGGCGUGCCUAACACAUGCAAGUCGAACGGAGAUUACGGACGGAAGUUUUCGGAUGGAAGACUGUAAUUCUUAGUGGCGGACGGGUGAGUAACGCGUGGGCAACCUGCCCUAUACAGGGGGAUAGCAGCUGGAAACGGCUGGUAAGACCGCAUAAGUCGGCGAGACCGCAUGGUUUUGCCGGGAAUGAGCAAUCAGGUAUAGGAUGGGCCCGCGUCCGAUUAGCCAGUUGGCAGGGUAAAAGCCUACCAAAGCAACGAUCGGUAGCCGGACUGAGAGGUCGGACGGCCACAUUGGGACUGAGACACGGCCCAAACUCCUACGGGAGGCAGCAGUGGGGGAUAUUGCACAAUGGAGGAAACUCUGAUGCAGCGACGCCGCGUGAGUGAAGAAGUAUUUCGGUAUGUAAAGCUCUAUCAGCAGGGAAGAUGAUGACGGUACCUGACUAAGAAGCCCCGGCUAACUACGUG
This 480-nucleotide ribosomal RNA is filed under the name uncultured bacterium. RNAcentral's name for it is "partial 16S ribosomal RNA". It matches the Rfam family "Bacterial small subunit ribosomal RNA", at positions 28 to 507 of the family's 1533-position model. The record is from RNAcentral.